This 402-nucleotide ribosomal RNA is filed under the name uncultured bacterium. Its description in RNAcentral is "bacterial SSU rRNA". It matches the Rfam family "Bacterial small subunit ribosomal RNA", at positions 355 to 774 of the family's 1533-position model. The record is from RNAcentral.
UGGGGAAUCUUAGACAAUGGGGGAAACCCUGAUCUAGCCAUGCCGCGUGAGUGACGAAGGCCCUAGGGUCGUAAAGCUCUUUCGCCAGGGAUGAUAAUGACAGUACCUGGUAAAGAAACCCCGGCUAACUCCGUGCCAGCAGCCGCGGUAAUACGGAGGGGGUUAGCGUUGUUCGGAAUUACUGGGCGUAAAGCGCGCGUAGGCGGAUUGGAAAGUUGGGGGUGAAAUCCCGGGGCUCAACCCCGGAACUGCCUCCAAAACUCCCAGUCUAGAGUGCGAGAGAGGUGAGUGGAACUCCGAGUGUAGAGGUGAAAUUCGUAGAUAUUCGGAAGAACACCAGUGGCGAAGGCGGCUCACUGGCUCGAUACUGACGCUGAGGUGCGAAAGUGUGGGGAGCAAACA